UUGGAGGGCAAGUCUGGUGCCAGCAGCCGCGGUAAUUCCAGCUCCAAUAGCGUAUAUUAAAGUUGUUGCAGUUAAAAAGCUCGUAGUUGAAUUUCGGGAUCAGCAGGUUGGUCUUGCCACUGGUAUGUACUAGCUUGCUGAUUCCUCCUUCUUGUAGAACCGUAAUGCCAUUAAUUUGGUGUUGCGGGGAAACAGGACUGUUACUUUGAAAAAAUUAGAGUGUUUAAAGCAGGCUAGCGCCUGAAUACAUUAGCAUGGAAUAAUGAAAUAGGACGUUCGAACCUAUUUUGUUGGUUUCUAGGAUUGACGUAAUGAUUAAUAGGGAUAGUUGGGGGCAUUAGUAUUCAAUUGUCAGAGGUGAAAUUCUUGGAUUUAUUGAAGACUGACUACUGCGAAAGCAUUUGCCAAGGAUGUUUUCAUUAAUCAAGAACGAAAGUUAGGGGAUCGAAGACGAUCAGAUACCGUCGUAGUCUUAACCAUAAACUAUGCCGACUAGGGAUCGGAUGAUGUUAAUUUUUUAAUGACUCAUUCGGCGCCUUACGAGAAAC
Molecule: ribosomal RNA, 548 nt
Filed under: uncultured Glomeromycotina
Lineage: Eukaryota; Fungi; Glomeromycota
Description: SSU rRNA
Rfam family: Eukaryotic small subunit ribosomal RNA
Source: RNAcentral